GUGGGGAAUAUUGGACAAUGGGGGCAACCCUGAUCCAGCAAUGCCGCGUGAGUGAUGAAGGCCUUAGGGUUGUAAAGCUCUUUUACCGGGGACGAUGAUGACGGUACCCGGAGAAUAAGCCCCGGCUAACUUCGUGCCAGCAGCCGCGGUAAUACGAAGGGGGCGAGCGUUGUUCGGAAUUACUGGGCGUAAAGGGCGCGUAGGCGGCGACCCAAGUCAGAUGUGAAAGUCCUGGGCUUAACCUGGGGACUGCAUUUGAUACUGGGUUGCUUGAAUUCGGGAGAGGAUAGCGGAAUUCCCAGUGUAGAGGUGAAAUUCGUAGAUAUUGGGAAGAACACCGGUGGCGAAGGCGGCUAUCUGGACCGACAUUGACGCUGAGGCGCGAAAGCGUGGGGAGCAAACAGGAUUAGAAACCCGGGUAGUCC
RNAcentral lists this ribosomal RNA (425 nucleotides) under uncultured bacterium. RNAcentral's name for it is "bacterial SSU rRNA". It matches the Rfam family "Bacterial small subunit ribosomal RNA", at positions 354 to 796 of the family's 1533-position model. The record is from RNAcentral.